UACGGGGGGGGCAAGCGUUGUUCGGAAUUACUGGGCGUAAAGGGCUCGUAGGCGGCCAACUAAGUCAGACGUGAAAUCCCUCGGCUUAACCGGGGAACUGCGUCUGAUACUGGAUGGCUUGAGGUUGGGAGAGGGAUGCGGAAUUCCAGGUGUAGCGGUGAAAUGCGUAGAUAUCUGGAGGAACGCCGGUGGCGAAGGCGGCAUCCUGGACCAAUUCUGACGCUGAGGAGCGAAAGCCAGGGGAGCAAACGGG
RNAcentral lists this ribosomal RNA (253 nucleotides) under uncultured bacterium. RNAcentral describes it as "partial 16S ribosomal RNA". It matches the Rfam family "Bacterial small subunit ribosomal RNA", at positions 524 to 776 of the family's 1533-position model. The record is from RNAcentral.